AGAGUUUGAUCAUGGCUCAGAUUGAACGCUGGCGGCAUGCCUAACACAUGCAAGUCGAACGGCAGCACAGUGGAGCUUGCUCCAUGGGUGGCGAGUGGCGGACGGGUGAGUAAUGCAUCGGGACCUGCCCAGACGUGGGGGAUAACGUAGGGAAACUUACGCUAAUACCGCAUACGUCCUACGGGAGAAAGCGGGGGAUCUUCGGACCUCGCGCGGUUGGAUGGACCGAUGUUCGAUUAGCUAGUUGGUGAGGUAAUGGCUCACCAAGGCGACGAUCGAUAGCUGGUCUGAGAGGAUGAUCAGCCACACUGGGACUGAGACACGGCCCAGACUCCUACGGGAGGCAGCAGUGGGGAAUAUUGGACAAUGGGCGCAAGCCUGAUCCAGCAAUGCCGCGUGUGUGAAGAAGGCCUUCGGGUUGUAAAGCACUUUUAUCAGGAGCGAAAACCUGUCGGUUAAUACCCGGCGGGCCUGACGGUACCUGAGGAAUAAGCACCGGCUAACUUCGUGCCAGCAGCCGCGGUAAUACGAAGGGUGCAAGCGUUAAUCGGAAUUACUGGGCGUAAAGCGUGCGUAGGCGGUUUGUUAAGUCUGCUGUGAAAUCCCCGGGCUCAACCUGGGAAUGGCAGUGGAUACUGGCAGGCUAGAGUGUGUCAGAGGGUGGUGGAAUUCCCGGUGUAGCGGUGAAAUGCGUAGAGAUCGGGAGGAACAUCAGUGGCGAAGGCGGCCACCUGGGACAACACUGACGCUGAGGCACGAAAGCGUGGGGAGCAAACAGGAUUAGAUACCCUAGUAGUCC
Molecule: ribosomal RNA, 799 nt
Filed under: uncultured bacterium
Lineage: Bacteria
Description: bacterial SSU rRNA
Rfam family: Bacterial small subunit ribosomal RNA
Source: RNAcentral